AAUUUUGUGUGUGUGUGAUGGAGUCAGGGUUUUGGAACUGUGACCUCUCUUUUUGUGUUUCAGAACUGGUCUCUCCUACUGUGGGUUUUUUUUAAAGAUUGGCACCUGAGCUAACAUCUGUUGCCAAUCUUUUUUUUUUUCCUUCUUCUUCUUCUCCCCAAAGCUCCCCCAGCACAUGGUUGUGUAUUCUAGUUGUGAGUGCCUAUGGUUGUGCUGUGUGGGACGUGCCUCAGCAUGGCUUGAUGAGGGUGCCAUGUCCGCGCACAGGAUCCGAACCAGCGAAACCCUGGGCUGCUGAAGUGGAGCGCGCGAACUUAACUGCUCGGCCACGGGGCUGGCCCCUGUGGCUUUUUCUUUUUACAAAGGUAUUCUUUUACAUUCAGACGUGGAGCACGAACUCUACCAGAUGGGAUCCCACCGGCCCCAAGGCUUUGUUGAAUGGAACCGUGAGUGAGAAUGUAAACUCUCGAGCCCAAGGCUUUCCACGGAAUUCCCUUUGGACUGGUUCAUUCUUUUUGCUCAACAUGAGAAAACAGCAGGAGUUAUUGGUUGGACUGCGUGAUGAGCCAGAUUGUCUGGGGGCAAGGCAGGCUGGGUAGGGGAGAGGAAACAACCCUAUGGACUGUGAUAAAGGAAUGUAUGAAGUUUUAUAAAAACAUAGAUAAAUAAU
RNAcentral lists this long non-coding RNA (670 nucleotides) under Equus caballus (horse). RNAcentral describes it as "lncRNA (ENSECAG00000046873.1)". The record is from RNAcentral. Lineage: Eukaryota; Metazoa; Chordata; Mammalia; Perissodactyla; Equidae.